CAUCAGUCUGUGCAAGAGAUUUGGGUUGACUGAGGGGAUUGUAGGUGCAUUCUAGAGCGGCUCUUUUUAUUUAAAAGAUUUCUUGGGAUAGGUUACACUGCAGAAGUCUAUUACAUCAAAAGGGUGUUGCCAUCUCUCCCUUUUGUAAUUAGUAUGGAGAGGUGGAGGAGAUAGUGGACCAUGCCAUCUUUACUUGUCAAAGAACCCAUCAGAUUUGGAGUCGAGCAUCAAGUAUUGUAUGCUUUGGAAUUUAGCCUGG
Molecule: long non-coding RNA, 259 nt
Filed under: Elaeis guineensis (African oil palm)
Lineage: Eukaryota; Viridiplantae; Streptophyta; Magnoliopsida; Arecales; Arecaceae
Description: long non-coding RNA (EGUI_LNC023015)
Source: RNAcentral